AGAGUUUGAUCCUGGCUCAGAUUGAACGCUGGCGGCAUGCUUUACACAUGCAAGUCGAACGGCAGCACGGGGGCAACCCUGGUGGCGAGUGGCGAACGGGUGAGUAAUGCAUCGGAACGUGUCCUGUAAUGGGGGAUAACCUAUCGAAAGGUAGGCUAAUACCGCAUACGUCCUGAGGGAGAAAGCGGGGGCUCGCAAGACCUCGUGUUAUAGGAGCGGCCGAUGUCGGAUUAGCUAGUUGGUGGGGUAAAGGCCUACCAAGGCGACGAUCCGUAGCGGGUCUGAGAGGACGGCCCGCCACACUGGGACUGAGACACGGCCCAGACUCCUACGGGAGGCAGCAGUGGGGAAUUUUGGACAAUGGGGGCAACCCUGAUCCAGCCAUGCCGCGUGAGUGAAGAAGGCCUUCGGGUUGUAAAGCUCUUUCGGCCGGGAAGAAAUCGCGCCAGCUAAUACCUGGUGUGGAUGACGGUACCGGAAGAAGAAGCACCGGCUAACUACGUGCCAGCAGCCGCGGUAAUAU
Molecule: ribosomal RNA, 523 nt
Filed under: uncultured bacterium
Lineage: Bacteria
Description: bacterial SSU rRNA
Rfam family: Bacterial small subunit ribosomal RNA
Source: RNAcentral